UGUUGGUUUAAUUCGAUGCAACGCGAAGAACCUUACCUGGUCUUGACAUCCCGGAGACCCUUAGGAAACGUAGGGGGUGCUUCCAUCUGGAAGAAUCUGGAGACAGGUGCUGCAUGGCUGUCGUCAGCUCGUGUCGUGAGAUGUUGGGUUAAGUCCCGCAACGAGCGCAACCCUUGCCUUUAGUUGCCAGCAGUUCGGCUGGGCACUCUAAAGGGACUGCCGGUGUUAAACCGGAGGAAGGUGGGGAUGACGUCAAGUCCUCAUGGCCUUUAUGACCAGGGCUACACACGUACUACAAUGGCCGAUACAAAGGGCAGCGACACUGCGAGGUGAAGCCAAUCCCGUAAAAUCGGUCUCAGUCCGGAUUGGAGUCUGCAACUCGACUCCAUGAAGUUGGAAUCGCUAGUAAUCGUGGAUCAGCAUGCCACGGUGAAUACGUUCCCAGGCCUU
Molecule: ribosomal RNA, 450 nt
Filed under: uncultured Desulfobulbus sp.
Lineage: Bacteria; Pseudomonadati; Thermodesulfobacteriota; Desulfobulbia; Desulfobulbales; Desulfobulbaceae
Description: bacterial SSU rRNA
Rfam family: Bacterial small subunit ribosomal RNA
Source: RNAcentral